UGAAGUUUGAUUUAAUAUACAAGGAAUGCGAAUAAGAAGCAGUUUGUGUUCGUGUUCCGCUGAUGUCAUGAAAGUAGUGGCACUGAUUAACAUACCUAACAAAUGCAAAUGGUUGCCUUACUCGAUUUGCACGCGCGCAAAAACGUGCAUGCUCUUAUUAACAAAUGGACUCACAGGGACUUAUCCAUAUGCUAAUCAUUUUGUACUGAAUAUAGCAUGGACUGAC
This 226-nucleotide long non-coding RNA is filed under the name Setaria viridis. RNAcentral describes it as "long non-coding RNA (SVIR_LNC009193)". Lineage: Eukaryota; Viridiplantae; Streptophyta; Magnoliopsida; Poales; Poaceae. The record is from RNAcentral.